CCUGAUAUCCCUUCCGUGCUUCCCCGUCCUAGUAGUUUAGGAUUUCUUUUCUAACGCUUUGAUUCUGACCAAUCUCUCUGGCCUGCUGCUUCCUGAUAAUCGACCAGUUCUCGAGUCUUGCUCCCUGCACUCCUCCCUCCAUCUCCAGCAUCGUUUUCUCACUCACCCGCUCCAAUGGCUGUUCUUUCUGCUGCUGACGCUCACCCGGUCUCAGCGAUCGGGUUUGAGGGCUAUGAGAAGCGCCUUGAGAUCACCUUCUCUGAGGCGCCUGUCUUUGUCGACCCUCAUGGGCGUGGUUUGCGUGCCCUUUCCAGGGCCCAGAUUGAUUCUGUUUUGGAUCUUGCACGGUGCACCAUCGUGUCCGAGCUCUCCAACAAGGAUUUUGACUCCUAUGUCCUCUCUGAGUCGAGCCUGUUUAUCUAUCCUCUGAAGAUUGUCAUCAAAACAUGUGGGACUACCAAGCUCCUGCUCACCAUUCCAAGGAUUAUUGAGCUUGCUGAAGAGCUGUCUAUGCCGCUUGCUGCUGUGAAGUACUCCCGUGGGAUGUUCAUCUUCCCCGGUGCACAGCCAGCCCCCCACAGGAGCUUCUCUGAGGAGGUUGCUGCCCUUAACCGCUACUUUGGUGGCCUGAAGUCUGGUGGUAAUGCUUAUGUGAUUGGAGAUCCUGCAAGACCUGGACAGAAGUGGCACAUCUACUAUGCCACCGAGUACCCAGAGCAACCCAUGGUUAAC
This 732-nucleotide long non-coding RNA is filed under the name Setaria italica (foxtail millet). RNAcentral describes it as "long non-coding RNA (SITA_LNC005313)". Lineage: Eukaryota; Viridiplantae; Streptophyta; Magnoliopsida; Poales; Poaceae. The record is from RNAcentral.